AAGGAAAUGAGUUCAUCAUACAUGCAUAUUAACUACAGCAGUGUCAUCCAUUGUUCUGACACCUGCUUGCCACAGGAGGAACAUGAGGUGUAAAUAAAGGGAUGAAUUAAGGAGUACCACUUCUUUGUUCCUGCUCUCUCACCUGAGAAGAUAGCACUGGAUGUUCCCAGCAGCCUCGCAAAAUUCAUGGGUUUACAGAAACCUCUGCACUACCGCAUGUUUUUAUAUGGAAUAGGAGGGAACACAGACGAUGGGAGAAUAGAAGGCUGCUGGUCUGCAAGGAGCAAUGUUUAGAGGAUGUGUCCUGGGCCACAACCGAAAUGCAUGGCCGUAGUUAGCUGAGGUUCUGCUAGCGAGCCUGGGAAUGGCUGUGGUGCCCUCUGUGCUGUUUUGGAUGACAGAAGAUUUAUGCCUGGGCCACUUGCAGAGAGCUGCCUAAAGCACUGCAGGUCCAGGCAGAAAGCUACACCUUCAAGGAGCACUGCUUGCCAUUACCACAGCUAGCUGUGUCCUUAAACUGCAACCCAAAGCAUUUUGAGAGCCUGGCAUCCUUCUCCGAGGUCUCCAGAGCUAUAGCUGUGAUGGCAAGAGCCGUUGCUUGGUGGUACCAAGCUGAUGAAGAGCUCCCAGUUGUUAUGCUGCUGUACAGAUACACCAGAAGUUGCCUGUGAACAUGGGUGACUGUCUCCGUGAGCCCAGCGAGAAACCCGGUGAGUUUUUUACCUGCACGAGAUUUACCCUUAUCUGCUCCCGCUCUGUGUUCGAGGACGCGUUUGUGCAGCGAGAAGAGAAAGCUGCGCAGCAUGACGUGUGUCCUCCAGCCGUGCCGUGAGGCCAGCAGACACCUCCAGGGACCGGGGACAG
Molecule: long non-coding RNA, 864 nt
Organism: Athene cunicularia (burrowing owl)
Lineage: Eukaryota; Metazoa; Chordata; Aves; Strigiformes; Strigidae
Exons: 5
Source: RefSeq, a predicted model, not a curated record